GUGCUCGCUUCGGCAGCACAUAUACUAAAAUUGGAACGAUACAGAGAAGAUUAGCAUGGCCCCUGCGCAAUGUUUUUUUUAAUCAUAUCUAUUUUAAAAAAUAUA
Molecule: small nuclear RNA, 105 nt
Organism: Peromyscus californicus insignis
Lineage: Eukaryota; Metazoa; Chordata; Mammalia; Rodentia; Cricetidae
Source: RefSeq, a predicted model, not a curated record